This 28-nucleotide small RNA is filed under the name Bombyx mori (domestic silkworm). RNAcentral's name for it is "ovarian small RNA-14977". The record is from RNAcentral. Lineage: Eukaryota; Metazoa; Arthropoda; Insecta; Lepidoptera; Bombycidae.
CUUAGCAUUGCAGGUGCUCUAGGGUGGC